This 72-nucleotide transfer RNA is filed under the name Erinaceus europaeus (western European hedgehog). It matches the Rfam family "tRNA". Rfam says of the family: Transfer RNA (tRNA) molecules are approximately 80 nucleotides in length. Their secondary structure includes four short double-helical elements and three loops (D, anti-codon, and T loops). Lineage: Eukaryota; Metazoa; Chordata; Mammalia; Eulipotyphla; Erinaceidae. The record is from Rfam by way of RNAcentral.
GGGGAUGUAGCUCAGUGGUAGAGUGCAUGUUCUGCAUGUAUGAGACCUUGGGUUCCAUCUCCAGUAACCCCC